This is a long non-coding RNA of Vespa velutina, 8964 nucleotides long. RefSeq lists it as uncharacterized. Lineage: Eukaryota; Metazoa; Arthropoda; Insecta; Hymenoptera; Vespidae. The record is from RefSeq and is a predicted model, not a curated record. The transcript has 2 exons.
AUAUCUGGUAUAUAUAAUAUACAUAUAAUAUAUAUAUAUUAGCGUAAUUUAUAACUUCGUACUUUUCCUGUAGAUACAACUAUAACAAUGUCACACGCCUAAUUUAAACAAUAAAAAUUGCAUUAUUAAAUCGCUUAUUGUCCGAUGCCGAUUACAUCGUCGAAGAAAAUUAUCACGAGGGGUGUUCAUACUAUCUUAAAAGCAGACAUUUUCGGAAGCGUUUCAAAUAACGAUCAAGGUGAUUAGGCUACCCUAAGAAGGAAAAGAAAUGAGAUUACUUUCUACGUGGAAGCAGCGGUAGAUGGACACAUCUUUCGGUCUUUGGACCCACCCACGAAAUUCCAUAACAUCUGACGCGAGACCAUCUGUCGAUUCGACGAAUUCUUUGCCUGCUCAUCUCGUUCUCCUUCACCUUCGGUAGAAAAACUUUCCGAAGUAUUCACCGCGGGCCAAACUAUGAGCCCUAAUUACACCGGAGUCCACUUGACGAUCAUCGAAAGAGUUCACUCCGGGCAGAGGUACCUUCUUCUUCUUAUGCUUCUUACUCCUCUUCUUCUUCUUCUUCUUCUUCUUCUUCAUCAUCUUUAUACUGAACGAACAAGCUAUUCUUGCCUCCAGUUUGAAUACUCUGUUAUCUUCAACCUGGAAUGUCCCUGAAGGUACUUAGAGAUUUUCAGUAAAUUCUUUUUUCUUUUAUUCUUUUUUUUUUUUUUUUUUCUUUUGAAAUCGACCGAUUAAUAUUAUAUUAUGGAUUUCGAAUAAAACGCCAUACAUAUCUCAUUUUAAUGAUGAAAAUAGAAAGGAAAGAAAAUUGAACGCUUAUUUUUCAACCAUGGACAAUCAUCUACUUAUUCCUUUUUUUUUUUUUACAAUAGAUUAUCGUAUAAAGGUUGAAGUCGAAAAUAACCGUGACCGUGUAUAGUACAAUGAUAAUAAUCAGAUAAACGUUAUUCUUAGAAAGAUUUACAGUUUCUCCUACAGUUCAUCCUCCACCGAGUUAAGCAAUUAAAAGAAUUGAGGUCUUUGAGUUGGGUCUAUGUUGUGUCCAAGAUCACGAAAAUUUAUCUAGCGAAGUAGAAGGAAGAUGGGAACUUGGUCGAUGGAGAAAUAUAGAGAGAAAGAGAGAGAGAGAGAGAGAGAGAGAGAGAAGGAAGAGGACUCACUAUGCAUUAGGCUAAUCACAUCGUUAAAUAAUUCAUCACGCACGAGGCAUUCAAAUUAAUAACGUAUUACGAGAAUCGCCUUCAAUCGAGCUCGAGCGCACGAAUUGCUUUGUAUACUCUAUCAUUUCUACAGUGAUUCUCAUUCUAUCGUUUAGAAAUCUCUAUGUUUUAUAUAUCUCUAUCUCUCUCCCUCUCUCUCUUUUUCUUUCUCCCUCUCUCUCUCUUUCUCUCCCUCUCCUCCUCUUUCUCUUUCUUUCUUUCUCUCUCUUUCUCCCAAUUUUUAUAUCUCUCUUAUUUCAAAUUUCGUAGAAAAAAACGUGUUAAAUGUAAUCAUUGAAUGUAAUCAUUGAAUGUAAUCAUUGAAUGUAAUCAAUUAAUUAUAAAAUUUCUAUACUAAGGAAGGAAUAUAAUUUGAUGAUAAAAUUUGUAGAAAUGUGUACCACUGUCUCAGUUGAAAUCGCAUUCAAAUGAGAGGAGAGUGGAGAGAAGUUCGAAAGAGAAACGAAAGAAAAACGAAAGAGAAACGAAAGAGAAACGAAACGAAGCGUACGCACGCGGCUACGAGCCACCCCAGGCUCCGAGUAUAAUCAUUCUCGGAAGGGCAAUUCCGUGGCAGGCGCGCAGCACGAUGAUAAUAAUAAUUUAAAUCGCGGCCACUUAGCAUACGUGUAAUUUGGCGCUUAAGAUGAUUUCGCGUCGCCGUCGAAACGAACGAGAUUCGCGCGACGUGUUCGAAAAGGUGGAUAGGACCAACGGGGUGGACCGAACGAAACACCAAAAUUUCUCCUUUUUGAAAGAGAGGGACUUUUACCUCGAGGCGUUGCCAUAGUAAAGGACAUAAUCGUCUUUGAUGGCCGAAUAAAAUGCGUUGAAACGCGUAUAAUUUAUUUCUCUUUUUUCCUUUAAAGAAAUCUCUUUCUUUUCCUAAUAAUAGAUCAGAUAAAUUUAUUUAAAUAUAUUUCAUCAAAUAUAGAUCAAGAAAAUACGAAGGAAUUAAAAAAAGAAAGAAACAAACAUUGAAUUAUGUUUAAAUAUGGCCGAAGAUACAUUUUGACGUUAAAUAAAAAUAAAAAGUGGUAUAUUUAAGCGUUAAACAAUUUUUUUUUGUUUUUUUUUUUUUUUUAUCGUUCGACGUUCUCACUUUAAACGUUCCUAAGAAUUUUCUAAGAUCACUUCGAGGUAAGUUCAGUUUGAAAAUUCGACUAUGAGAGUAACACCUGGAGGUGUUUUUGUCGUAAAGGGUUUCAAAGAAAGUCGGAACAGGUCUGUCUAUAAUGCGACUCUUAAGGAUAGUCAUUAGACUAAAUCAUUAUUCAGUUGUCGUUAUGCCCUUACGGAAAGAGUAAAAUUUCGCGUGACAAAAAUAUAGAAAUGCCUACGGCGAUGAAUAGCUAACGUACUAUCCGCCAAAGUUGUGGACGCAAAAAAUCAUUCUGUUUAAAACGAUUAGAGAUUAUUAUAGGUAUUUUCGCGAAAAUAUUUGCAUGAAGAAAUUCGAAAAUGUUCGGAGAAAAAACAAAUCGGUCGGUGAGUAGAGAGAGGAGAUUGGGGUUGGAAUUGGGGUGGAGAACGGUUAAACGGUGAUUUAUCUGAGACAGGUGUAAAAAGCACGCUUAUUUAACAUAAUUAUAAUUUAAUUAACGAUUGAAAUUAUAAGAGUUUUGUAAUAUUUUUCUUUCUUUUUCUUUUUCUUUAUUUUCUUUUUUUCUUUUUUUUUUUUUUUUUUUUUGAGGAAAAAGAUCACGAGUAUCGAUCAUCGUCGUCAUUUUUGAAGCCGAGAAAGAUAAUCCCAAUUUCAUAAAUUCCUUUAAAAAAAAAAGGAUCGUCCGUCCGUUCUGUGAUCUUGUAAAAAUCUUAGCGUUUGAAAAAACUCAACGAGCACGCUUUCACGAUGCAAUUUAUCACCUGGGAUCACAGUCAUUGCCACCCCAGCAUAGCUGAGGGGGAGGGGGGCGAGGGUGCCUUCUCCCGCUCUUGCCAUAACUCUUUGUAAUAGCUAAUAUCUCACGAGAGUCAUACAAAUGCGAAUCGGUUACUAGUUACUACUUACACGAGGUAAGGUGAUUUAUCGGCGAAGGGUAACGCGCAGGCAGAAGCGGUAAGAAAAAGAAGGUGAGAGCGCUAUGCGAAAGCAAAGUGUUGUAUGUGUGUGUUUGUAUGUAUGCGUAUGUGUGCGAAUGUAUAUGAGUGAAAGAGAGAGAGAGAGAGAGAGGGAGGGUAAGAGAGGACGAAGAAGAAACUCGCGAGUGCAAAUCACUCGGAUGGCUCUACGAUGCUGCCAAUUAAGGAACAGUUUUAAUCGUUCUCGCCUAAUUACCGGGCUAUUACAUUGUCUCUCGAGGGUAAAUACGUCGGUCCAAAUAGCCCCUCUUGCAAAUAAAGAAUUCAACAAGGAACGCUGUGAAACUCAUACGUCGUUACAUUCAUCAGAUCGGCAACAACAUUCGUGAAUGUCGCGGGAAUCUUUACGGCACUUAAAAGAAUAUUUACUGAAAGUAGAUUAAAAUUCCAGACUCGUAAUAACUUUUUUAAUUCGCUAUUCUCGCGCCCCGUCGGUCAUAAUCGUCCGUAGAAAAUGUUUUAAUAUUGCUGACGAAUAUUUUCUUAAUCGUCGCGAUCAACGAGGAAAAAGAAAAAAUUGGAAAAAUUCUAAACAUCCGUUCUAACAAUCCUAAAUAUCUUUCGAUUGACGUCGGUUCGAGAAAAAGAAAACCUUUGGAACCUUUUUUUCUAAAGGAUCUUCGAAGCGUUCCAUCACGGUCCGCGUUGAAUUUACGAAGUUCUUCUUUCAGAGAUGGAACCAGUCGCCCUUAAUAACCACCCUCGCACAUGGCCUAAGGAUCCAACGCGACCUACAAUCACGCCAUAGACAACUUGCAGGGACUCGAUCAUUAUCACGGCCAAUAAUCACCGAGACGUAUUCCACUAAGUGCUCCCCUCGGUUGGAACAUUUCUCUCUACCACCCUUAGCUCGUGUCCUUCUUCUUUGCCCAUCUCUCUCUCUCUCUCUCUUUUUCUCUCUCUCACACCAUCUUCGAUACCAUACUCAUUUCUCUUCUUCUUCCUUCCUCCUCACUCUCACCCGUCUACUACUUCUCUAUCCGUCUGUUAUUUCGUCCGCACGACGAACAAUAAUCAAAGACCUGAAAGAAAAAGAAAGAGAGAGAGAGAGAGAGAGAGAGAGAGAGAGAGAGAGAGAGAGAGAGAGAAAGAAAGAUGGACGGCAUCUCUAAUUCGGUGCAAUUACAUCAAACGAUUAAAACGAUUUUAAUUGUCCGACGCGUGGAAUACCUCGAGGGUAAAAUCAUGUUAUAUCUUUCCUUUUACAAAAACGUGAUCGUCUCUCUUUUAUAACGAUUCGAUUCUAGCAUAAACAUCGGGGUAUCAGCUUAUCAUUGAUUUAAAUAAACGUAGAUAUAUUCUAAUCACCUGACGCGUAAUUAAAUAACGUCGCUUUACGAUCCUACCGCAUACUCAUACCUAAUAAUAUACUCCCACGAGAAACAUGGUGGGGAUCUUAUAUCUCCUGUCCUCGAGAUUAGAGGAAUUAGAUUCACCGCGGGACACGUACCAAACGGCAGGGCAUCGAGUUGAAGAGAAACCAGGAGCUGUCAAGGCUAGACUAGCUCGGAAUCUGAUAGAAGUCUGAGAAGGAGUAAGAAGAGGAGGAGAGAAAGGAAGGAAGAUACGCAUAAGCGGGGGGUUUCUUAAAACAUCACGAGGAAGACUCACGUAUAUCACCGCGGGGCUUCCUCGUUUCUCGGAUACGCAAAGAACAGAAACGAUAUUAGUAAUGGUGAGGUCGUAAUCGUAGUCGUACGUAAUCAGGAUCAACAGACGUGUCCUUUUUUCACCUUGACCACCAGCCGGCCACCGAAAAUGCGUUCUACCUUUCCACGCGGACGUCCUGCUGCUUUCUCUCUCCUUUUCUACCUCUCUCUCUCUUUCUCUCUCCCUCUCUUUUUCUCAAUUUCUCUUUUUCUCUCUCUUUCUCUAUCUAUCUCUUUACUUUUCUCUGUUUUUGUUUCGCUUUUCAACGUAUCGUUCCGAAACACCAUCUGAGAGUCGGCAGUAACCUCUAAUUAAAAUUAACGAUAAUAAGCACGCGAAAGGACACGGCACCCCCCAUGAAUCCGCUACCGUCAAUUAACUCGUUGGCUUGACAGAAACAACGCGAUUCACGCAGCGCAAAUUUCGUCUUUAUACUGACUCGAAGUCUACAAUUUCUUGUUACCAACUUGAUUACGAACGGAUAAGGUAAAGGCGUGUUCUCAUCAUCCUCUAUAAAACAAACGAUGUUGACGAUUGUUUAGGAUUAUGUUCGUAGAAACUUUUUUUCAUCGACUUGAUCUUCGGUCUUAAAUUUUGCAUUAUUUUUAAUAGAAACAUUUCGUUCCUUUUCACAUGUCAGACACGGGUUAUGAUUUGUAAACAGGUGGAAGGAUAAAAAUGAAAUUAUAAAAGGUCUCGGAAAAAAAAGAAAAACAUCAUCCAGAGUUAUCCUUUCGCAUUUGAAAUAAAUUCUAGAAGUGUGUGGCUAUUCUUUCUAUAGCAUUUGUAUUAUUAUCGCGUUCGUCGGCUAAUAAACCUAUAAAUUCCGAGGAAGCUCCGGGAAACGGCGUGGAGAUGAUGAAACGAAUGUUUAUGGCGUUUCUUCUCCUUGCAAAAGAGAGAAAGGGAAAGAGAAAUAGCGUAGGGUGGUAGGAAGAAGCGUGGAGGAAGUAAAAAGCAGGAACGAAGCCACCGUCUAGAGGCUUAAUUGAAUCAACGGGCAAACGAAUAAUUCUUUUAUUUCCACUUAAAUCUUCGAGCUUACGAUCGUUAUUGUUCCGUGUUCUGACAGCGGGGCGCUCGUUAGUUCUACCUUAGGUAGAACCGAGUUUUCUCUUUCUUUUGAACUCCGCCGUAGUUCGUGGGACGAGCGCGAAGGGAUGUAUGGUAGGGAUAGGUUGGCCUUUCAGAAUGAAAACCACGACGUUUAUUGCUCAAGCGGCUUUUGAAACGUGCUGAGUGCCUCGACAGUUAUCGCGUGUACAUCGCGAGGGGAACUUUUCUGAACGAAGAUCGAUGAGAUUUAUGGAAAGGUGCUGCACGGAGGUUUCGAUGCGUUUCCUAUGAAAACGGUUUGUAUUACAAAUCGUGAUAACUCUUCUAAUUUACGAUACUCUUAAUCACCGUUUAGCUUAGAUCGUAAUAGAUGUUAUUCCUUUUGUAUUUUCCUUUAAACCAGAUAUAACUAACUAACUAACAACGAAGGAAAAAAUUAAAACGAUUAAGAUCUUUUAUUACGACCAACGGAUAUUAUCGUUUUAACGAACGAUACGAUGUUAACCUUAUCAGAUGAUUAGAUAAAUAUUUAAAAGACAUGUUCGAAAAUCCAUAACCAUGUCAAGACUUUCUAUCUCUACCGAUCACUGGCGUCUCCUCGUGGCUAUGACUCGAAACUAGGUGCAACAGGUGUCUCGUGGUUACGGCGGUGAUGGUAGGACAAAAAGAGAGAGGAUCUGAGAUAGAAAGAACGAUACCUCGAAAGUAUUCCGAUGCUAGAUGAAAAGAAACGUUGGAGUUAGACGAUAGGAAUGGUUAGGUCGGUCAAUUCCAAUCGACUGAACUGAAAUUUCUCAUGACAAAUGACUUUUGAUUUUCAAUUAUAAUUAAUCUGCUCGAUCAUCGAUUAAGGUUGUCUUAUCGAUUAGCCUUGCGCGACGUAACAAACUCCGAAAGGCAAGAGGAUCGAAAACAAAAAAAAAAAAAAAACAAAAAAAAAGAAAAAAACGAAAGAAAGAAAGAACAGAAAAAGAAAAAGAAAACAAAAAAAAGAUAUUUUCUGCGGCACAUGACGCGUAAAUUGUGGAGAGAUGAACGUGCAGAAUGCCAGGCACGUCGUAUCACCCUGACGUAAAAGGGGGCGCGAGAGUAUAUAAAGCGGACUAUGUAGAUGGGUGGGCUGGACCCCAGUGUUGAUGGUUUAGCAUAAUUGCACGAUUUUUUAAAUCCCGUGUGCGCUCUGUGUGGUCAUCGAAGUAAUUAACCGCUCCCGCGCUUACAAUGCAUCGCGUAUUAAAAUCGCCCUCGGCAUUAUUAAUGUAUCCUCGGGAAGAGAGCUCGAAGAUAAAAUAUCUUUUUCUGUUAGGAUUUUCAAAAUCGCUGAAAUCGAAACAGGAAUUAACCGUUGUUAAAGUUUAAAGUUCUUUUUUGAUCUUACUUGAAAAUAAGUUUAGUCUUGAAUCAUAUCAACGUUCUAAUCAAAAUUCUAAUGAAAUAUUUUGCAUUUUCUGGUUGCGACGUGAAAAUCAUACGUCAAACGUUUCUCUUAUUUGACGAGCCAUGAUAAAUCUACGCACGUCAUCAAGGAAACUAGAAAACUAGACGGUCUCGCGGUAACGAUGCACUUUAAAUGCAAUCACCGAAAGCAACGAGAAGUUGGGAAUAUGACGACAAACCAUCGUAAAACGUUUAUUCGUCGAGCUUUUAAUCGUACGACGCUCGGAGCCUUUGACGUCGGUGGUCACGCCGCCAAGACCGGAUGCCACUGGAGAUGCUUAUUAACCGGACGUUCUGCUUGCUAGUUUUAAACCGAUUAUAAAGUCAGACUCGACUAAAUGCGAUGAGAGUUUUGAUACUAAACGAAUAAUAAUGAAUAACAUUGGACGUGACAUUUUCUAAAAAGGUGUUCGAUAAACAAUCGAUCAGGUUAUUCGUCGUGAUAGGCGUCACUCUGAUCAAUCAGGUACUCGGCCAAUUGACUAGACGUUUAGUUCGUUUCAAGUACGUACACGACCAGUAGUCCUAGCAAGGCCGACUGGCGCCGAGAAGCGCUUAUUAGAAAGUCUCGGUGCACUGUCGGUAUGCGAUUGUUCACCACGAUUGUGUCUCAUUUAGAUUCCUACCGCAUUCUCCUCUACCGCUUUGACUUUAGUCGCUCGUAUCUCUUGGUUUCUCUCUUGGUCCAACCAACUAUCUUUCUAUCUCUUUCUUUAUACCGUCUAAAUUCGCAAUUGUUCUUUACAGUCGAUUCGACGAUUUGUUUACGAUCGAGCAUCGACAGAUAGUUAUUUCUAUAGGUAUUUGUCGUAAGGAAAAUAUUUUAACUUUCCCAUUGCAUACUUGAAUUAACAAAGAAUAAAAGGGGGAAGAAAUUAUUAUGAAUGGUUAUUAAGGAAUCGUGUAACUUGGUAUUAAAAUUAGAAAAAUUUAUAAUAAUUAAAAUUAAUGAAUUUUUGGAGUAAUUCCUUGGGGAGAAUAUUUAAAAGGAAUAAUUAAAUGUCAUUUGAUAUUAUUCCUAUGAAAUUUUUAAUCAACGAUACGUUCGUUGUAUGUAUCACGAAUUAUAAUCAACGAAAAAAAAAAAAAGAAAAAUAAAAAAGAAAAAAGAAAUUCGUGUUCGAGUAGUCAUCCAGCAUGGAAAGAAGUCAGCGACCGGCAUUAGGCGCAUUCAAAGCAUUCCCUAAUGUUUUACGUGAGGAUUUAUAACAUAUUUAGCGAGCGGCCUACCGAUACAACCCAAGAUAACGGCGAGCGUUCGUAAAACUUACGCACACGCGUGCCCUUCUUGUUCAGAGAUUUAUGUACAUACCUACAGCGCACAGAACACACCGUUGUCGCCAUUGUGCGAGCAUUAAGUAAUCUGGACGGUGCUUCAUCAUUGCCGAUAUGUAAUAAGAAAUUUAAAAAGAAAAAGUUUAGAAACGAUGAGAUAUUCCGUCCUAUCGUUUUGUUAAACAUUUAUCUUUUCUUUUUUUUUCUUUUUGUUUUUUUGGUUUUUUUUGUUUUUUUUUUUUUUUUUUUUUUUAAGACUAGG